AGUCGAACGCAGUAGCAAUACUGAGUGGCAGACGGGUGAGUAUAAUGUGGGAAUCUGCCUUUUGGUUCGGAAUAACUCGGGGAAACUUGAGCUAAUACCGGAUAAGCCCUUACGGGGAAAGAUUUAUCGCCAAAAGAUGAGCCCGCACUUGAUUAGCUAGUUGGUGAGGUAAUUGCUCACCAAGGCAACAAUCAAUAGCUGUUCUUAGAGGAAGACCAGCCACAUUGGGACUGAGACACGGCCCAGACUCCUACGGGAGGCAGCAGUGGGGAAUCUUGCACAAUGGGGGAAACCCUGAUGCAGCGAUGCCGCGUGAGUGAAGAAGGCCGUUGGGUUGUAAAACUCUUUCGUCGGGGAAGAAAAUGACUGUACCCGAAUAAGAAGGUCCGGCUAACUUCGUGCCAGCAGCCGCGGUAAUACGAAGGGACCUAGUGUAGUUCGGAAUUACUGGGCUUAAAGAGCUCGUAGGUGGUUAAAAAAGUUGAUGGUGAAAUCCCAAGGCUUAACCUUGGAAACUGCCAUCAAAACUUUUUAGCUUGAGUGUGAUAGAGGGAAAAG
RNAcentral lists this ribosomal RNA (558 nucleotides) under uncultured marine bacterium. RNAcentral's name for it is "bacterial SSU rRNA". It matches the Rfam family "Bacterial small subunit ribosomal RNA", at positions 60 to 663 of the family's 1533-position model. The record is from RNAcentral.